ACAUGGAGUCAGAUCCUCGUUUCUUCCCUCUUCCAAGACCUCUGUGAACGCUGUUGCAGUCUAUAGGCAAAAAUAGAACCUGUCAAAAAUAGAGUAGUGUUCUCAAACACUACCUAUUGAACCUGAGUUUUCUUUACUCAGUUAUACCUUCUUACCCUUUGAAAACAGAGUCUCACAAAGAUUUAGACAGUCAUUAAUUUAAAUGAAAUUUCGAAAGUCAUCAGAGAAUCUGACUGAGAGUCCUUCAGAAAGAAGUGUUUAUUGCAUGUUCUGAUGCACAGAAGCUGUCUUCAAUAAAGUUAAAGGGGGAAAACCCCCUACCUUUUGGGAUGGAAUGUUUUUCUUGCUGAUAUGAAACUAGCAGGUAAUAAUUCUGUUUCUGGAUUUUCUAUUGAUUUCCUGCAUGGUUUUUCAUGAAUAAUGCUUCAGUUCUGCAGAAGAAAGCCCUGCUCCUUACAUGCUCCUCAGCUGCUUGUAUUGACUAUUUGUGAAGUGCAAACCCCAGUCUCUCUUAGAUCUGAAAGCUGUAGAAGAUAUAAAUUCUGUUGCUUAUUGUAUUUUAUUUAAUGUAAUGUAAAAUAUUACUGCAAAACAGUAUUCAAAGGCAAUAUGAUGACUCUUAAGAAGUAUGCAGCAAGUAUUGGAUCUGAAAGUCUGAAUAAAUAGGCAUGGAUGAGAUAGACAAUACUAAAUGGAGCAGUUGUAUGUUCAGAAUCUCAACGUACCUAUGUCUGUGUUCAGGAAUUUUCAGGCACCUGAAAUUUCCAUGUAAAGGAAUACUGCUUUCUUAAGUGGCCUCAUUCCAAUGAAAAUAAUGGGUCAAAUUAUAAUUUAAAGUGCUGCCACACAAACUGAUUCCUUGAAAGAAAAAUUUAGGUUUUCAGUCAUUCACUAAGUUGAUGUAAAAAUUCAUACAAUAAAAGGGAACUUAUUUAAAACAAACAAACAAACAAACAAAGGAGAGCCAUUAAACAUCAAUGUUAUUGUAUCACUCAGAAAAGAGUUAGGAAAUGAACUUGGAUAAAAAUUAUUUUUAGGAGGUAUCAGUGGUCUAAUCUUAGAAAACAGUGACUUCAUUCAUUUAGGCUGUAGAAGUUUUUUCACUCAGAAGAAUGUGUGUGGAUUUUAGCCAAGUUAAUCCAGAGCAAAUGGAAUCUUUAACCUUUUAAAAGUUUGUAGUGGUCCUGCUUUGUAGUCGCUAAUACCAGGAGACACAGAAGGCCUGGCUGAUGGACAUAUGGUGUAGUAAAGCUCAUUAGCUCUGUUGUCUUUAGAAGAAAGGUUUAUUACUUAGGGGUUGAGAUGUGGAAAGAAAAAAGCUGCAAGAAAAGUACUGAAUGUUGUGUUGUGUUUUGUAUGAUUUUAAGCUUCUUUCACAUAUGAUUGAGCAUUUGGCUCAUGAUGACUAGGAGCCCUUGGGUUAUGCCAGCUGUUCCAAAAGAAACCCCAUUACCCAGUCUGUAAGUCACAUAGAUAUCACAGGAGAGAGGAGGACAGUCCAAAUUUCUGUGCAGCUCUUCUCCUUUGGAAGGAUUACUUGUCUUUAUACAGGGCUAACUGAAAGCCCACCAAUAUCUUUUCUUGCUCUGGUCAGCCUGGUGAAUGCAGAAAAGUUCAUUCAUUUCCAUUUGAGGAACAGGGAAGCCUGUGGCACUCUGCUGCAAAAUUUCAUCAUGAAACUUUAGAAAGGCAUUAUAAGUUAAACAGAAUUAGCCACAAAUACUGAGUCUGCUAUGCUGUAAACUCUCUUAUGCUCAGAUUUGUACAGUACACCUGUAUCGUGUUGCAAUGGAUAAGGCAGUGUGCCUUGACUAUUUUGGCAGAAGGCACCCAAAGAUAAUCGUAGCUAUCUGUGAAUUGGACCAUAUUGUCUAAUCAUUGUUACAGCCACGUUUUUGGGAUCAGGACAUGAGUAUAAAUAAUAACAUUUGUUAUUAUUAAGGGACUGUCCUGUUAGGAAGAUGUAGCAUUCCGUUUUCCAAGUAUAGUUAGAAGCAUUGCCUAUGCAACUGAAUUUCCCGUACGGGGAGAAUGACCUGUGUCUCAUGAGCACAUUGCAGUGUUCUGAGAGAAAGUGCUCAGUGCACCUCUGGGGGCUGGCACUGAAGCUACAUGGUUUAUAUUCUAAUAUUUCAAAGCAGGAUUUAUGCAAUGUGGCAGCAUUUUCACAGUGUGUCUUUAUCUGAACAAUGACAAAAUAAAAAAGCAUACUGUAGGCUUGAGAAAAUGUCCCUAAGUGCAAAAAUGUGAGUGCACGUGCUCGUGUCGCUGUGUUGGUUGGUUUGGUGUGUCCAUUGUCUUACCUUCACAGAAGAAUAGAGGGAUAGUGUGCCCAAGGAAAGUCAUCAAUAGUAAAUUGAAUGAUAUUGACUGAGUGAGCUACCAAUUCACAGUCAUCAGCAAAAAGAAGCUCCCUAAUGAAGAAAUCAGCCACACGUGUCUGCAGACUGAACAACUUGCAUCAGUAAGAAACUGAAUAAAUAUAUCUCUGCCAGUGGCACGAAGUGCAUCCAUCUGCACAAUAGAGAGAAGGUGUAAAAGAGUACAGAAACUCUUUAUGAUAUUAAAGAUAUCUUUCAGUUUUCUACCUAUCUAACCACCAUCUAAAUUACUGAGAAUUAGAUAUGUCAGAAAUAAAAUUUGUAAGGCAUUCAUGGGUCUGCUAAAGCUUCAAGAGUCCCCUAUAAUUCACAUUCUCAAAAUGUUUAGCUAGGUCAGUGGUCAGCAAGCGAAGGCAGUAAUUUGAACUGAUGCUACUUGAAAAGGAUUGUGCGUGUGAUGCUACUUUCUAAAUAACUUUACAUGCAAGUUUGGGAAAGACAGACUGCACAAAACAGAAUUUGAUUCCAUCAUUUUAGGUAUUUUCCUAGCAUUGGAGAAAAGAAAUGCCACAAUAAUUGUCACAGUUUGCAUCAUGAUAGUUUGUAAUAGAUACUGCUGGUGUCUUUGAAUUGCCAUGAAAUUGCCUCCUGCUUUCAGUUGAGGUGGGAAGACCAUGUGAUGUUUGUGUUGCUUUUUCAAAAGUAAUUUGUCAUCAUGCCUUUUCCAAACGUGUAUUGUACAAAGUCACUGAGUGUUCUGGUUCAAUGUCAAGACUUUGUAAAAGAAAGAAGGUUUUUGAUUGAAAAAUUUGACAGGUUGUCUUGGCAUUUUGAACACAGGAGACUACAAAUUUCAGUCUAUGACAAAUUUCUGUCAUUCUCACAACUGUGACUAAGGAUAUUUUUGCUCUACACUUUUUCUACCAAAGUAUGGCAUUAAGUUUGUUGAGGUUACAUCUUGUAACAGGUGAAAAGAGAUGUGUGCUGUCACUCUCCUACCUAUGCAAGAAAUAUAUACUGCAACUACAGAAACUGCAUUGAGCUGGUUGAUAUUGACAAAUACAGAUUGGGUUUUAAACAUCUUUUCUGUAGUAAAUGGUAUUGAUUUCUCUAGAUUCAAUGUUACUCCAGAGUGCUUUCAGGAAUGAUGUUGGUUUUAUGUUAAUUUAAAGUGUGUUUGUACCAUUUUGUCCCUACAUUCUGUGUUAAUGAACACCUACUUCCAUCAUGGCCAACACAGUCUUGGGCAUCUGUCCUAUAUGUAAUUUGUGCUACUGUCAAAUCUUAUUACCUGCAACUGCUGGUUUGUUGUUUGUUUUUUCAGCUGACAAUCCAAAAUCCACAACAACACUUGAAGACAGAGGUAUAGUUUCUGAAAAUGGACAAGAGCUCAGGAUAAGUUAGAGGAAUUGAAGAGGAAAAUAACAGCAAGCAGUGUAUUGGUUUUUAGAGUUUUAGUUUGAGGAAAUAGUCUGGGUUUUUUACCACAGCUAUCUAAACAAAAACAUAAUGAAGGUUCAUCUUUUGAAGUUCCCAAAAAUAAAGCAAAAUGUAAUUCUAAUUCAGAAUGAAACAUUUAAACAAAAUAAUCAGUGCAUAUCUGGCACAACUUAAAUAAAAAUUAUGUAUCAUUCAUAUAUGUUGAAUGGUAUAUUAAACAGUACAAAACUAAGUGAUUAAUAAUGAUUUUCUGACAGUAUUUUUUAAGCAAGUGGAGAGCUAUUGCAAAGAUUUUCUAACAUGAGUUUGGCAAGUGCAAAUGCAUUUAUGUUUUAUAUCAGAGUUGUCUGGUCUCCAUCAUUUUUCCCAAAAAGGUGUGAAGCAAUGUGUCCGUCUCUGUGCAUCUUCAGAAGAUUGAAGCUGCCUUCCAAUCCUGUUACUCUGUUGCUGAAAUCAUAAAAAAAUACAAUGAGUAGAGACAUCAAGUGACUAUUCAGUCAAGGCUGCUCUCAUUCUCUUCCAAAUCAAGACUGCUACUGAAGGGUAUGUUCCAUGCAAAUAUGUGGUGUAUUUCUCACCUCCUGAACACUUCAAAAUAUUCAAGAUGAUGCAUCUGGGUUCCCAAGGGGAUUGUUCUGGAAUGCUGUACAGCGGAACUGAGCUGGGACUGGGACUACAGUUACCAAUUAAGGUGGAGAGAGGAAAGCACCAAACUCAAGUCCACAAAUGUUCCCUUCCUGUAGAGGUCAGGCUCUCCCCGCUAUGGAAAGAGACUCCCCUGCUCACACAGUCUAGCUGGGAAUGUGGCAAUACACAUCAGGAGCAACUGGAAAUGAAUCGGAGCUCUCUUUGCAAGAAUAUAAGCUGUAACCUUAAAAAAAAUUCCCGAAGUGCCAGAUUUUUAACAGGUGUUUAUAGUGUCUUUCCAAACAUAUGGAUGUUUUUAAGGAUUUCUCCUGAAGGACCUAUCUAUAUGAAUUACUCCCAUUGCACAAGACAUUUCCUAAAGAUUCUCGAGUUACUGGGUUCAUCUCCAUCUCUUUUCUUAAGGGAUCCUUUUUUGAUGAAAAUUGCAUCUGUCAAAAGACAAACAGGAAGAAUCAAAUCCAUUCUAAUGAACUUUUAUGUACCACAUAUUUUAUUUUUUUUUUAAAUAGGAUGAUAUCUUUUGCCACUGCUAAUUUUUCUUCUGGAAAUUGUAACAUAUCUCCUCAUAAACUGAAAUUUCCUAUUACAGUUUCUAUGCUCAGCUCUUAUGAACAGCAAAAAAAACAUAUCUCUAUUAUCCCAAUAGAGUGAGAGUGCUGCAAUUGCUACUCAGAAGAACACAAAGCUCAGUGUUUGAAAGGAACAUAAAAACUCCUGUAUCCCUUUGCGAGGAUGGAUUCUGCUCAGUACACAUGAAUUGUCCAAAGCGGCAAGUAAGAAUGAAUCAUCAGUUUCUUACCAUGAAGCACAAGAGACCAGGAAAUGACAGCAUUUUUAUCACUUCCAAAUACAGAGAUAGUUUUUAAAAAGGUGUUAUUACACCCUAAAAUACUUAAAUGUGAAGCUUUUAUUCUGUGUUUAGCUGUCACUAACUCUAAUGCUACUUUUUGAUGGAAUUUUUUUAUUAGUUAAUACAAAGUUACACUGCUAAAAAUAGACAAAUCAGCUUGAAUGGGGAGUUUUUUUUAAGUUUAUUACUACAAAGAGACAUUCCUCUGAAAGCAAAAUCUUUAAGUAGUUUCUGUAAGUUUUAUUACACAGAAGGUAAAUUCUGUGUACACUGCAGUUCCAGAGAAUAACUUUUAUGAAUUAAAUAAAAUUUUUCAUUUGAAUGAAGUUUUACAUUCUCCAAGUCUGGUAAAAAAACAGAAACUGAUAAAAAGCCACUAUGCCCAUUUUUAAUAUUUAAGAAAUUUACAGGUUUAAUAUUUGAUGAUCAAAUUUGAUACACUAUGCCCAUCUUCAUUAUGUAUCUUAUAUAUAGUUCAAGGCCAGGUUGGUGGGGACUUCUGUGACUUGAUAUAAUGGAAGCUCUCUCUGCCCGUGACAUUUGGAACAAGGUGAUGUUUAAGGCACCUUCCAGCUCAAGCCAUUCUAUGAUUCUAUGACAUUUCUCUAAAGUGAAAGGUAUAAUGAAAUGCUCCUGCAAAUCUUAGUGGACUGUCAUGGGCUUACCUUAUAGAAAUACCUGAUCAGAAAAUGUCGCAGACAUCUUUUAUGGAAAAUCCUUUCCUUAGGAUUUUUCCUCCUGAGAAGCUGAGAGGCCUCAGGAAUGUAA
Molecule: non-coding RNA, 6027 nt
Organism: Zonotrichia albicollis (white-throated sparrow)
Lineage: Eukaryota; Metazoa; Chordata; Aves; Passeriformes; Passerellidae
Source: RefSeq, a predicted model, not a curated record